GGCUCACCCAAGUACAGUAAUGUUUAAACUAAUUGAUCACAACCAGUUACAGAUUUCUUUGUUCUUUUUCUACCCCUAUUGCUUCACUUGACUAGCCUUAG
RNAcentral lists this Y RNA (101 nucleotides) under Mandrillus leucophaeus (drill). RNAcentral's name for it is "Y RNA (ENSMLEG00000013189.1)". It matches the Rfam family "Y RNA". Rfam says of the family: Y RNAs are components of the Ro ribonucleoprotein particle (Ro RNP), in association with Ro60 and La proteins. The Y RNAs and Ro60 and La proteins are well conserved, but the function of the Ro RNP is not known. In humans the RNA component can be one of four small RNAs -- hY1, hY3, hY4 and hY5. Lineage: Eukaryota; Metazoa; Chordata; Mammalia; Primates; Cercopithecidae. The record is from Rfam by way of RNAcentral.